Molecule: ribosomal RNA, 447 nt
Filed under: uncultured bacterium
Lineage: Bacteria
Description: partial 16S ribosomal RNA
Rfam family: Bacterial small subunit ribosomal RNA
Source: RNAcentral
AACGAACGCUGGCGGCAUGCCUAACACAUGCAAGUCGAACGCCCCGCAAGGGGAGUGGCGAACGGGUGAGUAACGCGUGGGAACCUACCCAGCAGUUGGGGAUAACCGCGGGAAACUGCGGCUAAUACCGAAUACGUCCUGAGGGAGAAAGAUUUAUCGCUGUUGGAGGGGCCCGCGUCGGAUUAGCUAGUUGGUGAGGUAAUGGCUCACCAAGGCAUCGAUCCGUAGCAGGUCUGAGAGGAUGAUCAGCCACACUGGGACUUAGACACGGCCCAGACUCCUACGGGAGGCAGCAGUGGGGAAUAUUGGACAAUGGGGGCAACCCUGAUCCAGCAAUGCCGCGUGAGUGAUGAAGGCCUUAGGGUUGUAAAGCUCUUUUACCGGGGACGAUGAUGACGGUACCCGGAGAAUAAGCCCCGGCUAACUUCGUGCCAGCCGCCGCAGUAA